AUUGAACGCUGGCGGCAUGCUUUACACAUGCAAGUCGGACGGCAGCACAGAGAAGCUUGCUUCUUGGGUGGCGAGUGGCGAACGGGUGAGUAAUAUAUCGGAACGUACCGAGUUAUGGGGGAUAACUAAUCGAAAGAUUAGCUAAUACCGCAUAUUCUCUGAGGAGGAAAGCAGGGGACCUUUGGGCCUUGCGUUAUUCGAGCGGCCGAUAUCUGAUUAGCUAGUUGGUGGGGUAAAGGCCUACCAAGGCGACGAUCAGUAGCGGGUCUGAGAGGAUGAUCCGCCACACUGGAACUGAGACACGGCCCAGACUCCUACGGGAGGCAGCAGUGGGGAAUAUUGGACAAUGGGCGCAAGCCUGAUCCAGCCAUGCCGCGUGUGUGAAGAAGGCCUUCGGGUUGUAAAGGACUUUUGUCAGGGAAGAAAAGGAUGUUGCUAAUAUCAAGAGGUGAUGACGGUACCUAAAGAAUAAGCACCGGCUAACUACGUG
Molecule: ribosomal RNA, 490 nt
Filed under: uncultured bacterium
Lineage: Bacteria
Description: partial 16S ribosomal RNA
Rfam family: Bacterial small subunit ribosomal RNA
Source: RNAcentral